GGUUUUUGUUAUAGGGCUGCCAUAGUGAGUUCUUGUAAUUUGGCAAGGGAGUAAGCUUCAGCCAAAGAUUUAGGUUUGAACAUCCUAAUAGGCAUCUGUAAUUCAUCAUUCAACCCAGAAAGGAAAAAACUUAAAGCUUGUUCUUUAGUAAUACGUGCCUUAGGAUAAAGUUCAUCAAACGCAUUCAAAUAGUCUAGCAAAGAAUCCACCUGUUUCAAGUUUCUCAACUAAGCAGUACGAUCAUCAAAAGCAUGGUCACCAAAUCUGGCCCCCAAAGCCCUAACAUAUUCAUUCCAAUUUAGAUACGCCUCUAUGCAUUUUGUCUUAAUGAAUCUCUGGUGCCUCUGAAUUGCACGACCUUUUAGAUGUAAGGCUGCAACUUUUACACGAUUCUCA
RNAcentral lists this unclassified non-coding RNA (396 nucleotides) under Hevea brasiliensis (rubber tree). Lineage: Eukaryota; Viridiplantae; Streptophyta; Magnoliopsida; Malpighiales; Euphorbiaceae. The record is from RNAcentral.